Molecule: ribosomal RNA, 253 nt
Filed under: uncultured bacterium
Lineage: Bacteria
Description: partial 16S ribosomal RNA
Rfam family: Bacterial small subunit ribosomal RNA
Source: RNAcentral
UACAGAGGUCUCAAGCGUUGUUCGGAUUCAUUGGGCGUAAAGGGUGCGUAGGCGGCGCGGUAAGUCGGGUGUGAAAUCUCGGAGCUUAACUCCGAAACUGCAUUCGAUACUGCUGUGCUUGAGGACUGGAGAGGAGACUGGAAUUUACGGUGUAGCGGUGAAAUGCGUAGAUAUCGUAAGGAAGACCAGUGGCGAAGGCGGGUCUCUGGACAGUUCCUGACGCUGAGGCACGAAGGUGAGGGGAGCAAACGGG